This 149-nucleotide small RNA is filed under the name Escherichia coli. Its description in RNAcentral is "QUAD RNA". It matches the Rfam family "Short Intergenic Abundant RNA". From Rfam's summary of the family: This family contains multiple ncRNA from E. coli that were identified in a large scale screen of E. coli, were they were called candidates 43,55 and 61. The record is from RNAcentral. Lineage: Bacteria; Pseudomonadati; Pseudomonadota; Gammaproteobacteria; Enterobacterales; Enterobacteriaceae.
UUGACACUAAGGGCGGAGUGACAUAAUUUCAGGAGUGAGGGUUAGGGAGAGGUUUCCCCCUCCCCCUGGUGUUCUUAGUAAGCCUGGAAGCUAAUCACUAAGAGUAUCAACAGUAUGAUGACGUGCUUCAUCAUAACCCUUUCCUUAUU